This is a long non-coding RNA of Cyprinus carpio (common carp), 1009 nucleotides long. Lineage: Eukaryota; Metazoa; Chordata; Actinopteri; Cypriniformes; Cyprinidae. The record is from Ensembl.
CAACAUAGCUACAGUGAGAGAUCUCACACAGGAUGUUAAAGGUCAAGAGCAUAACUAAAGCAAACACUGAUCUCCAUGAUGGUGGCGUCAUUUUAACCAAUAAAACAUCAACAUCUGAUCCUCUGUAAUUCUCAGUAACAGCAGGUGUUCAUCACUAAUGCACAACCAUCAUUUAAUUAGUCAUUUAAUUAUCUCAAAUUUAACUCUUUGAGGACCUGGGAUAUUACUUGAAGAUUUGUUUGUGACUUGAAAGUCCCACCUCUGCCUUCUCACAAAUAAUGCUUUGAACACAAAGUUGUAUUUUUACAUCUCCAUGUCUUGCAUGUUCACAUAAACGUGUCAUCAUCCCCUUAUCUCCGUUUAUCAGAGGAACUGGGCGUCUCUGUCACAUUCAUCAGUUCAUGUUAAACAUGUAACCAGGAAAGAAACACUAAAACUCAUCUGAACACAUAUUGAGAGCUUCAGAAGAACUGAAUCUACUAACAACAGAGAAGAUCAUUGAAGAAGAGAGAAGAAUGAAGAUCAUCUGUACUUUCACUCUGCUGAUGAUUCCUGGUGUGUUGAGCUCCAUCAGUGUGACAGGAUAUUCAGGAGGAGGAGUCAGCAUCACAUGCAGAUAUGAUAGAGGAUAUAUAGACAAUGAAAAGUAUUUUUGUAUUGGAGAGCAAGUAACAUGCUCUCAACUCAUCAAGACUAAAGAAAAAAAUAAAUGGGUUAAUUCUGGAAGAUUUUCUCUGUAUGACGACACAAGAGCAGCAGUUUUCACUGUGACCAUCAGAGAUCUGAGUGAACGGGAUUCUGGGACAUACCAGUGUGCAGCUGCUAUCUCUUGGGAUAUAGAUUUUUACACUGAAGUGAAGCUGAACGUUGUAACAGGUGAGUAACUGAGACCCUCACACCCAUGAUCACAACAUCUCAUCAACAUCACAUGCUCAACACUGACUGUAAUUACUGUGGUUUACACAUGUAAUACCUAACAUAAUAAACAACUUCUAAACAGAGGAGAACA